GAAACUGCCUGAUGGAGGGGGAUAACUACUGGAAACGGUAGCUAAUACCGCAUAAUGUCGCAAGACCAAAGUGGGGGACCUUCGGGCCUCAUGCCAUCAGAUGUGCCCAGAUGGGAUUAGCUAGUAGGUGGGGUAACGGCUCACCUAGGCGACGAUCCCUAGCUGGUCUGAGAGGAUGACCAGCCACACUGGAACUGAGACACGGUCCAGACUCCUACGGGAGGCAGCAGUGGGGAAUAUUGCACAAUGGGCGCAAGCCUGAUGCAGCCAUGCCGCGUGUGUGAAGAAGGCCUUCGGGUUGUAAAGCACUUUCAGCGGGGAGGAAGGCGAUAAGGUUAAUAACCUUGGCGAUUGACGUUACCCGCAGAAGAAGCACCGGCUAACUCCGUGCCAGCAGCCGCGG
Molecule: ribosomal RNA, 403 nt
Filed under: Klebsiella pneumoniae
Lineage: Bacteria; Pseudomonadati; Pseudomonadota; Gammaproteobacteria; Enterobacterales; Enterobacteriaceae
Description: bacterial SSU rRNA
Rfam family: Bacterial small subunit ribosomal RNA
Source: RNAcentral